This 485-nucleotide ribosomal RNA is filed under the name uncultured bacterium. Its description in RNAcentral is "partial 16S ribosomal RNA". It matches the Rfam family "Bacterial small subunit ribosomal RNA", at positions 28 to 507 of the family's 1533-position model. The record is from RNAcentral.
GACGAACGCUGGCGGCGUGCUUAACACAUGCAAGUCGAACGGAAAGGCCCUGCUUUUGUGGGGUGCUCGAGUGGCGAACGGGUGAGUAACACGUGAGUAACCUGCCCUUGACUUUGGGAUAACUUCAGGAAACUGGGGCUAAUACCGGAUAGGAGCUCCUGCUGCAUGGUGGGGGUUGGAAAGUUUCGGCGGUUGGGGCUGGGCUGGGGGUUUAUCAGGUUGGUGGUGGGGUAGUGGCUUACCAAGGCUUUGACGGGUAGACGGCGUGAGAGGGUGGCCGGCCAGACUGGGACGGAGGGCAGGGGCAGACUCGUAUGGGAGGCAGCGGGGUGGGAUAGGGCACAGUGGGGGGUAGGGUGCUGCAGCGGCGCGGCUGGAGGGAUGGAGGCCUGGGGGUUGUGAGCCUCUUUCGGGAGUGAAGCAGGCCUGCCUCGUUUGUGGGGGGGUUGACGGUAGCUGGAGAAGAAGCGCCGGCUAACUACGUG